Molecule: transfer RNA, 87 nt
Filed under: Cordylochernes scorpioides
Lineage: Eukaryota; Metazoa; Arthropoda; Arachnida; Pseudoscorpiones; Chernetidae
Description: tRNA-Tyr
Source: RNAcentral
UCCCUCGAGCCGGAUUUGAACCAGCGACCUAAGGAUCACCGUUGUAACAUCUACAGUCCUCCGAUCGGCCAAAUGAGCUAUCGAGGG